UUCAAAGCUUCAAAAGAACACAGAUAGUUGAGGGGACUGAAUUCAUGCACAUAUAUUCCUCCUCCUCCAUCAACAGACAGUCGAAACUUGCCGCCUCAAGCCGAGCAGAGGUCGAAACAGUGGGUAUUCUGGUUGAGAUUCCGUUGUUCGCAAUCCGGUCUCAGGUACGGUGAAAAUAAUUGAAUUCAUAUUCGGAAGGAUGGGAGGAGGGAGAAGAAUAGAAACCUGUAUAUUUGAUUCUGCAUCAUCAUCAACCAACUAGUGAAAAAACACCAGAGGAUUUAGAUUUUUGAGGAAGAAACAACUUGACAGUGUCAUAUUUGGUUGCAAUAACAAUUCCAUGAAGGAGUGUAUAUAUAAGCAGCUAUUUGGUUAGUUAUUUAGGAGCUAAUGCAUGUCUUUCUUCUUUCUUCUUGGCUGUCUCAUGUGAGCUGAAUUUUGUUAUAUGUACUUUUUUCCUUCUCUUUUUGUGCUUUAGUUGAAUUGCGUAUUUGUUUGAGCUCUUGUUUUAGGUUUGCCGAAUUCACAUUUUUCAUAUGUGAAGAAUG
This is a long non-coding RNA of Capsicum annuum, 548 nucleotides long. RefSeq lists it as uncharacterized. The transcript has 3 exons. Lineage: Eukaryota; Viridiplantae; Streptophyta; Magnoliopsida; Solanales; Solanaceae. The record is from RefSeq and is a predicted model, not a curated record.